RNAcentral lists this long non-coding RNA (831 nucleotides) under Ictidomys tridecemlineatus (thirteen-lined ground squirrel). Its description in RNAcentral is "lncRNA (ENSSTOG00000032551.1)". The record is from RNAcentral. Lineage: Eukaryota; Metazoa; Chordata; Mammalia; Rodentia; Sciuridae.
AUGAAUCACGCCCGUGGAGGGUGGGAAAGCCUGGGACCUAGUCUAUUUAUGCAGAAGGACAACUCUAGGAGUCAACAGUCCCGGUUAAAUAAAGCAGGAGCUGCACCAUCCCACUUAAAAACCAGGCAGGACGGGAGCGGCCAGCUUGAUCCUGCCACCGAUGUAAUGCAGGUGGACCGGAGCUCACCUUGCUGGGAACCCUGGAGGGAGACGCUGGCUGCUGAAGAAUCCCUGGGAGGCCAGACCCUGACUCACGCAGCUGUGUGACCCCAGACAAGUUACUCAACUCCUCUAGCCCUUGGUUGCCAUGGAAACAACAACAGGACCUAUACUUCUGAGGUUCUGUGCACGAGGCCCCGCGUGUUCACUGCACUCUGCAGCCAUUCCUGGUGUGAGGGUGGUGUAGUUCCAACACCAAGAACGGACCACUGGAACUUUCCCUUCUCCUCUGGGUGUCCCUCAACCCUGGGGGAAUGGGGACGGUGGCUGGCUGAUCCCCAGACACCUCCCCCAGGACUACCAAUCUUAGAUUUACAAAGUUGCCAAGGAAAGAAAAAACUGCAAGCCGAAAGAAGGAAUGAUCCCAGGAACACUGCAGAGGCCUUCAGACGCAGCCAGGAGCCCAAGGGGAAGCCUGCGGUGGUGGCUUGUAAGUUGUUGGUGACAGGCCACUCACAACCAGGUCAAAGGGAGCCUCAUGCAGAUGUAAGGUACUGCUGUGACUCUGGCACCAAGAAAAGAGCAGAAGCAGGUGUGCCCAAGUGUUGCCAUGGAGGACAGUGAUUCUCUCUACUAGAAAACAGCUGCUUGACAAAGUAAAAGUGCUUCCUA